AAGUCGUAACAAGGUUUCCGUAGGUGAACCUGCGGAAGGAUCAUUAAUGAUUUUAGCUAACCAUGGUUAUUUUAGCCAUGGUUAUGCGAAAUUUUGUAUUUAAAACCCCACUCUUUAUAAUAAAAAUUUAUUAUAUUUAUGAUAAAAAUAAGAUCACUUUCAACAACGGAUCUCUUGGCUCUC
Molecule: unclassified non-coding RNA, 183 nt
Filed under: Oehlia diaphana
Lineage: Eukaryota; Fungi; Glomeromycota; Glomeromycetes; Glomerales; Glomeraceae
Also listed under: 1 other name
Description: partial internal transcribed spacer region
Rfam family: Eukaryotic small subunit ribosomal RNA (bases 1-46)
Source: RNAcentral